RNAcentral lists this transfer RNA (72 nucleotides) under Fomitopsis schrenkii. RNAcentral's name for it is "tRNA-Thr (AGT) (tRNA-Thr-AGT-1-1, tRNA-Thr-AGT-1-2)". It matches the Rfam family "tRNA". From Rfam's summary of the family: Transfer RNA (tRNA) molecules are approximately 80 nucleotides in length. Lineage: Eukaryota; Fungi; Basidiomycota; Agaricomycetes; Polyporales; Fomitopsidaceae. The record is from RNAcentral.
GCCUUCUUAGCUCAGUGGUAGAGCGCGUCACUAGUAAUGACGAGGUCACCUGUUCGAAACAGGUAGGAGGCA